Aricia agestis (brown argus) is the source of this 148-nucleotide long non-coding RNA. RefSeq lists it as uncharacterized. Lineage: Eukaryota; Metazoa; Arthropoda; Insecta; Lepidoptera; Lycaenidae. The record is from RefSeq and is a predicted model, not a curated record. The transcript has 3 exons.
AGUAUUGUUCAGAUGUGCAGCACUUGGCGGUGAAUGGGUUAACACCCACUCAAGUAGAAAUGUAUCCUACGGCGAACGAUGAAAUUUCGGUUCAGAACAUUGUAUCACCAAAAAAAUGCAAGACUGGAACCACAAUGCAGAUGGGGGG